RNAcentral lists this ribosomal RNA (253 nucleotides) under uncultured bacterium. RNAcentral describes it as "partial 16S ribosomal RNA". It matches the Rfam family "Bacterial small subunit ribosomal RNA", at positions 524 to 776 of the family's 1533-position model. The record is from RNAcentral.
UACGAAGGGGGCUAGCGUUGUUCGGAAUCACUGGGCGUAAAGCGCACGUAGGCGGAUCUUUAAGUCAGGGGUGAAAUCCCGAGGCUCAACCUCGGAACUGCCUUUGAUACUGGGGAUCUCGAGUCCGGAAGAGGUAAGUGGAACUGCGAGUGUAGAGGUGAAAUUCGUAGAUAUUCGCAAGAACACCAGUGGCGAAGGAGGCUUACUGGUCCGGAACUGACGCUGAGGUGCGAAAGCGUGGGGAGCAAACAGG